AAGCGGUGGAUGAUGUGGUUUAAUUCGAUGCAACGCGAAAACCUUACCACCUUUGACAUGUACGGAACCCUUUAGAGAUAGAGGGGUGCUCGAAAGAGAGCCGUAACACAGGUGCUGCAUGGCUGUCGUCAGCUCGUGUCGUGAGAUGUUGGGUUAAGUCCCGCAACGAGCGCAACCCUUGUCAUUAGUUGCUACAUUCAGUUGGGCACUCUAAUGAGACUGCCGGUGACAAGCCGGAGGAAGGUGGGGAUGACGUCAAGUCCUCAUGGCCCUUAUAGGUGGGGCUACACACGUCAUACAAUGGCUGGUACAAAGGGUUGCCAACCCGCGAGGGGGAGCCAAUCCCAUAAAGCCAGUCGUAGUCCGGAUCGUAGUCUGCAACUCGACUACGUGAAGUCGGAAUCGCUAGUAAUCGUGGAUCAGAAUGUCACGGUGAAUACGUUCCCGGGUCUU
Molecule: ribosomal RNA, 453 nt
Filed under: uncultured Rhodoferax sp.
Lineage: Bacteria; Pseudomonadati; Pseudomonadota; Betaproteobacteria; Burkholderiales; Comamonadaceae
Description: bacterial SSU rRNA
Rfam family: Bacterial small subunit ribosomal RNA
Source: RNAcentral